This 200-nucleotide unclassified non-coding RNA is filed under the name Hysterangium sp. RNAcentral describes it as "partial internal transcribed spacer 2". The record is from RNAcentral. Lineage: Eukaryota; Fungi; Basidiomycota; Agaricomycetes; Hysterangiales; Hysterangiaceae.
UUAAGUUCAGCGGGUAGUCCUACCUGAUUUGAGGUCAGAUUUAAAAGGUCUUGUCUCCGAGAGACGACUGUAAGCCCAAAAAUCAACCACGACCACCGACUACGAGCGAGGUUUUUCAACUUAUCACACCGUUCGUCUUGUGGGACACCGCGGUAGAGAAACGAGCUAAUGUAUUUCAAGACGAGCCGUCCAUCUGUUAC